CUGUCCCUCUAUAGUCUGUAGA
This 22-nucleotide microRNA is filed under the name Gadus morhua (Atlantic cod). RNAcentral describes it as "gmo-miR-11223-3p". Lineage: Eukaryota; Metazoa; Chordata; Actinopteri; Gadiformes; Gadidae. The record is from miRBase by way of RNAcentral.